UUUCCGUAGGUGAACCUGCGGAAGGAUCAUUACCGAGUGAGGGCCCUCUGGGUCCAACCUCCCACCCGUGUUUAUCGUACCUUGUUGCUUCGGCGGGCCCGCCUCACGGCCGCCGGGGGGCACCCGCCCCCGGGCCCGCGCCCGCCGAAGACACCAUUGAACGCUGUCUUAAGAUUGGAGUCUGAGCAUCUUAGCUAAAUCAGUUAAAACUUUCAACAACGGAUCUCUUGGUUCCG
This 236-nucleotide unclassified non-coding RNA is filed under the name plant metagenome. RNAcentral's name for it is "partial contains small subunit ribosomal RNA, internal transcribed spacer 1, and 5.8S ribosomal RNA". The record is from RNAcentral.